GGGUGCUCUUGGCUUAUUUGCCAUGAGUGACUGACUUUUAUGUUUGCUUGUGGCAGAUAAACAAAAGCCCCGUUAUCCGGUUACUGUUAGAGCAGUAACUUUCAUUUAACGAGGCCUUAGUAAUGACUUGCAAACUCAUUGUAGAGCCUCUUUACUGUGGAGGCAACAAAAUGCCGAAAAA
This 181-nucleotide antisense RNA is filed under the name Vibrio chagasii. Its description in RNAcentral is "sok". It matches the Rfam family "sok antitoxin (CssrC)". From Rfam's summary of the family: Also identified in Shigella as CssrC. The record is from RNAcentral. Lineage: Bacteria; Pseudomonadati; Pseudomonadota; Gammaproteobacteria; Vibrionales; Vibrionaceae.